AACGAACGCUGGCGGCAUGCCUAACACAUGCAAGUCGAACGAAGGCUUCGGCCUUAGUGGCGCACGGGUGCGUAACGCGUGGGAAUCUGCCCUUGGGUUCGGAAUAACAGUGAGAAAUUACUGCUAAUACCGGAUGAUGACUUCGGUCCAAAGAUUUAUCGCCCAAGGAUGAGCCCGCGUUGGAUUAGCUAGUUGGUGAGGUAAAGGCUCACCAAGGCGACGAUCCAUAGCUGGUCUGAGAGGAUGAUCAGCCACACUGGGACUGAGACACGGCCCAGACUCCUACGGGAGGCAGCAGUGGGGAAUAUUGGACAAUGGGCGAAAGCCUGAUCCAGCAAUGCCGCGUGAGUGAUGAAGGCCUUAGGGUUGUAAAGCUCUUUUACCCGGGAAGAUAAUGACUGUACCGGGAGAAUAAGCUCCGGCUAACUCCGUGCCAGCCGCCGCGGUAA
This 449-nucleotide ribosomal RNA is filed under the name uncultured bacterium. Its description in RNAcentral is "partial 16S ribosomal RNA". It matches the Rfam family "Bacterial small subunit ribosomal RNA", at positions 29 to 523 of the family's 1533-position model. The record is from RNAcentral.